RNAcentral lists this ribosomal RNA (253 nucleotides) under uncultured bacterium. Its description in RNAcentral is "partial 16S ribosomal RNA". It matches the Rfam family "Bacterial small subunit ribosomal RNA", at positions 524 to 776 of the family's 1533-position model. The record is from RNAcentral.
UACGGAGGGUGCAAGCGUUAUCCGGAUUUACUGGGUUUAAAGGGUGCGUAGGUGGGUUGGUAAGUCAGUGGUGAAAUACCUCGGCUUAACCGAGGAAUGGCGCUCAAAACUGCCGGGCUUGAGGGAGAUAGAGGUGAGCGGAACUUAAGGUGGAGCGGUGAAAUGCGUUGAUAUCUUAAGGAACACCCGUGGCGAAAGCGGCUCACUGGAUCUCUUCUGACGCUCAGGCACGAAAGCCAGGGGAGCGAACGGG